This 672-nucleotide long non-coding RNA is filed under the name Brassica napus (rape). RNAcentral's name for it is "long non-coding RNA (BNAP_LNC001499)". Lineage: Eukaryota; Viridiplantae; Streptophyta; Magnoliopsida; Brassicales; Brassicaceae. The record is from RNAcentral.
GGAUAUCCGAGACACCAAAUAUCCAUGUGGCUAAGGAUCAAAUGGACACAAAUGCCUCCAAAUAUCCGAAAAUUCGAUCCUUGCCCACCCCUAUUUAUGGAUAAAAUUUGAUUUUAUUAAUAUAAAAUUUAUUUUACUAAUGUCUAGGUCUAUUUUAUUUUAAAUUCAUUUUCUUUUAAGAAUUUUAUAUGUCAUGUGUUAUUUUGAACAAAAAUAUCAUUUAAUAUUAAUUAACAUAAUUUUUAUAUAUUUAUCAACCACCUUUAUAUACUUUUACAUACACAUACAUGUGGACUUUGACGUAAACACCUUAUAACUAAAUAUUCACCACAACUGAAGUAUCUAAUUUUCUUGGUAGUUGAAAUAUAAUUUUUCUUAAUGCUUAUGUCUCUAUCGACCAAAUUGUAAUGAAAUGAUUUGUUUUAAUAAUUUUAUUUUCUUUUUCUUUAACUAUUAUAUAUCCGUUUAGAAGCUACAAUAAGAAACCAUUGGUUCGACAUCAAAACUAUCUAAAAUUCAGAACAUGAAAGCAAACAAAUAAUAGUAAAUUUUGGUUAUCACCGGAAAAACCAAAAACAUAAAACAUUUCAACUGAACAAACCAAAAUAAAUAUUGAUUUAGAAUGAUUGUUAUAUUUUAGGAAAUUCAAUCUAACUUAAAACCAAACCGAUA